This is a non-coding RNA of Acanthosepion pharaonis, 98 nucleotides long. NCBI's taxonomy places the organism in Eukaryota, Metazoa, Mollusca, Cephalopoda, Sepiida, Sepiidae. The record is from the annotation of a GenBank genome assembly.
UUUGAAACAGCAGUUCUCGUACGAUCACCGAAGUUAAGCAACGCUGAGCUUGGCCAGUACCUUGAUGGAUAACCGCUUGGGAAUACCAGGUGCCGUAA